Molecule: transfer RNA, 124 nt
Rfam family: tRNA
About the family: Transfer RNA (tRNA) molecules are approximately 80 nucleotides in length. Their secondary structure includes four short double-helical elements and three loops (D, anti-codon, and T loops).
GCUCGUGUAGCUCAGUGGUUAGAGCUUCGUGCUUAUAGCGGCAUCAAAUCAAUGACGUUGUGCAAACUGUCACAGUUGUGUUAGAGUAACGCGACCGUCGUGGGUUCGAACCCCACCUCGAGCA